Molecule: small RNA, 29 nt
Filed under: Bombyx mori (domestic silkworm)
Lineage: Eukaryota; Metazoa; Arthropoda; Insecta; Lepidoptera; Bombycidae
Description: ovarian small RNA-5911
Source: RNAcentral
UACAAGGUUUUCCUGUUAUUGAACACUGC